This 956-nucleotide non-coding RNA is filed under the name Nematistius pectoralis (roosterfish). RNAcentral describes it as "partial 12S ribosomal RNA". It matches the Rfam family "Bacterial small subunit ribosomal RNA". Lineage: Eukaryota; Metazoa; Chordata; Actinopteri; Carangiformes; Nematistiidae. The record is from RNAcentral.
CAAAGGUUUGGUCCUGACUUUACUGUCGGCUUUAGCUAGACUUACACAUGCAAGUAUCCGCCCGCCCGUGAGGAUGCCCAUAGUUCCCUGUUUGGGAAUAAGGAGCUGGUAUCAGGCGCACACCUAUUUGUAUUUGAGCCCACUACACCUUGCUCAGCCACACCCCCAAGGGUAUUCAGCAGUGAUAAGCAUUAAGCCAUAAGUGAAAACUUGACUCAGUUAAAGCUAAGAGGGCCGGUAGAACUCGUGCCAGCCACCGCGGUUAUACGAGAGGCCCAAGUUGACAGACAGCGGCGUAAAGAGUGGUUAAGGAAAACAGAAAACUAAAGCCGAACGCUUACAGGACUGUUAUAAGUGUCUGAAAGUAAGAAGCCCAUUCACGAAAGUGGCUUUACAUUACCUGAACCCACGAGAGCUAAGAAACAAACUGGGAUUAGAUACCCCACUAUGCUUAGUCCUAAACAUUGAUCUCAUACCACACCUACAUAUCCGCCCGGGAAUUACGAGCACUAGUUUGAAACCCAAAGGACUUGGCGGUGCUUAACUUCCACCUAGAGGAGCCUGUUCUAUAACCGAUAACCCCCGUUUAACCUCACCCCCUCUUGUUUCCCACCGUCUAUAUACCGCCGUCGUCAGCUUACCCUGUGAAGGCCAAAUAGUGAGCAAGAUUAGCAUAUCCCAGAACGUCAGGUCGAGGUGUAGUGCAUGAGAGGGGAAGAAAUGGGCUACAUUCGCUAAUUAUAGCGAAAACGAAUGACACGUUGAAAACAUAGUAUUGAAGGAGGAUUUAGCAGUAAGCAGGGAACAGAGUGCCCUACUGAAUUCGGCUAUUAAGCACGCACAUACCGCCCGUCACCCUCCCCGAGCCAUGGAUCCAAAUAAUUCAAGCCCCUACAGUAGCGAAGGUGAGGAAAGUCGUAACAUGGUAAGUGUACCGGAAGGUGUACUUGGUCUAC